UAAAAUAGUUUAGCCAAUUUUUCAUAUAAUUUCAGUUUUGCAAACCAGACAAGCCCUGUACAAAAUCCUAACAAAUAUAGCCCUCUAAAGUCGUUGCAAAAUUCGUUUGAAUCAACUAAAGAUGACGUUAAUAAACCUUGUGAUAAGAAGAAAUGCCAGAGAUGUUUUGUUAGGCAACGCGCUAGGAGAUGUUAAAGGCCGGAUAACCUGAACAUGGUUGUGACGCGUCUUUGUGUUCCCAAUAUAUGCGUGAAUCUUGUCUUGAAGCAUCCUGGCGCUGCUGCGUACAUAACAAACCCCGUUUUACACAAGCGUUUAGGUAAAGCCCGUCAGAAACGACUAAGCAAAGCUUAUCCGCAUUGUUUUGCGCGUGACUAGGCACCAAACCUCGCACCUUUUCCAAAUCUUCUCGGGCACUUUUAACAAACUAGUGUCACGGACGCCGCCUGCACCUGCAAGACUGCAAGUAGCAACGGACUGGACCUUCCCCCCGCUAGAGCUUAGCUGCGACGUGCGAUGCUGUUUACAAAGACCAUUCCAAACUCGUUAACAACUCACGGGUAAGCGAUCGGGUUCCUCACCUUCACCCUUUUCCCGUGGAAAACCUCGCUCACAUGGCGCCUUGAC
Molecule: long non-coding RNA, 627 nt
Filed under: Hordeum vulgare
Lineage: Eukaryota; Viridiplantae; Streptophyta; Magnoliopsida; Poales; Poaceae
Description: long non-coding RNA (HVUL_LNC011002)
Source: RNAcentral